GAUGAACGCUGGCGGCGUGCCUAAUACAUGCAAGUCGAGCGAACAGACGAUGAGCUUGCUCCUCUGACGUUAGCGGCGGACGUGUGAGUAACACGUGGAUAACCUACCUAUAAGACUGGGAUAACUUCGGGAAACCGGAGCUAAUACCGGAUAAUAUAUUGAACCGCAUGGUUCAAUAGUGAAAGACGGUUUUGCUGUCACUUAUAGAUGGAUCCGCGCCGCAUUAGCUAGUUGGUAAGGUAACGGCUUACCAAGGCGACGAUGCGUAGCCGACCUGAGAGGGUGAUCGGCCACACUGGAACUGAGACACGGUCCAGACUCCUACGGGAGGCAGCAGAAGGGAAUCUUCCGAAAUGGGCGAAAGCCUGACGGAGCAACGCCGCGUGAGUGAUGAAGGUCUUCGGAUCGUAAAACUCUGUUAUUAGGGAAGAACAAAUGUGUAAGUAAAUAUGCACGUCUUGACGGUACCUAAUCAGAAAGCCACGGCUAACUACGUG
This 497-nucleotide ribosomal RNA is filed under the name uncultured bacterium. RNAcentral's name for it is "partial 16S ribosomal RNA". It matches the Rfam family "Bacterial small subunit ribosomal RNA", at positions 28 to 507 of the family's 1533-position model. The record is from RNAcentral.